Long non-coding RNA from Alnus glutinosa, 472 nucleotides. RefSeq lists it as uncharacterized. The transcript is spliced from 2 exons. Lineage: Eukaryota; Viridiplantae; Streptophyta; Magnoliopsida; Fagales; Betulaceae. The record is from RefSeq and is a predicted model, not a curated record.
AUUACUAGGUUGAAUGUCUUUAAAAUUAAAAGCAUGUUUAUCAUAUUGAGUCUCUUAAACUCAUAAUGAUAAAUAUGAAUGAUUUUCUAAAAGAAAACGAUAAUUGUACUUAUGUGAAUAUAAUUAGGAUUUAUGAAUGAUGAUGUUAAUAUCCUAUGUAUGUGCAUAUAUUUGUUGCAGAUGAUGAGUUAAGAGUUGAGAGACUGUACAAAAGGGGACUGUGAGUAUUUCUUACUCACUGAGGAUGAUACGUGUGGUUUAGUCUUUAAUGACUGCAUGAGAUUGUGGUGUUAACCACAAUCACAUGCGAGUUUUGCAGGAACGAAGAUAGGAGCUGCUAGGUUGAUUAAGGACGAGACCUUUAGUUUGUAAAUUUUAUAUACAAUGAUUCCGUAAUGUUCGUACCGCAUGUGGUACGCUUAUUGUUAUUUAAAUGUAUGUUAUUAUAUCAGAUCAAAUAGUUAUUAUUUUA